RNAcentral lists this ribosomal RNA (872 nucleotides) under uncultured Pseudomonas sp. Its description in RNAcentral is "bacterial SSU rRNA". It matches the Rfam family "Bacterial small subunit ribosomal RNA", at positions 45 to 908 of the family's 1533-position model. Lineage: Bacteria; Pseudomonadati; Pseudomonadota; Gammaproteobacteria; Pseudomonadales; Pseudomonadaceae. The record is from RNAcentral.
GGCCUAACACAUGCAAGUCGAGCGGUAGAGAGAAGCUUGCUUCUCUUGAGAGCGGCGGACGGGUGAGUAAUACCUAGGAAUCUGCCUGAUAGUGGGGGAUAACGUUCGGAAACGGACGCUAAUACCGCAUACGUCCUACGGGAGAAAGCAGGGGACCUUCGGGCCUUGCGCUAUCAGAUGAGCCUAGGUCGGAUUAACUACUUGGUGAGGUAAUGGCUCACCAAGGCUACGAUCCGUAACUGGUCUGAGAGGAUGAUCAGUCACACUGGAACUGAGACACGGUCCAGACUCCUACGGGAGGCAGCAGUGGGGAAUAUUGGACAAUGGGCGAAAGCCUGAUCCAGCCAUGCCGCGUGUGUGAAGAAGGUCUUCGGAUUGUAAAGCACUUUAAGUUGGGAGGAAGGGCAGUAAAUUAAUACUUUGCUGUUUUGACGUUACCGACAGAAUAAGCACCGGCUAACUCUGUGCCAGCAGCCGCGGUAAUACAGAGGGUGCAAGCGUUAAUCGGAAUUACUGGGCGUAAAGCGCGCGUAGGUGGUUUGUUAAGUUGAAUGUGAAAUCCCCGGGCUCAACCUGGGAACUGCAUCCAAAACUGGCAAGCUAGAGUAUGGUAGAGGGUAGUGGAAUUUCCUGUGUAACGGUGAAAUGCGUAGAUAUGGGAAGGAACACCCGUGGCGAAGGCGACUACCUGGACAGAUACUGACACUGAGGUGCGAAAGCGUGGGGAGCAAACAGGAUUAAAUACCCUGGUAUUCCACGCCGUAAACGAUGUCAACUAGCCGUUGGGAGUCUUGAACUCUUAGUGGGCGCAGCUAACGCAUUAAGUUGACCCGCCUGGGGGAGUACCGGCCGCAAGGUUAAAACUCAAAUGA